RNAcentral lists this unclassified non-coding RNA (217 nucleotides) under uncultured Clavariaceae. Its description in RNAcentral is "sequence contains ITS2". The record is from RNAcentral. Lineage: Eukaryota; Fungi; Basidiomycota; Agaricomycetes; Agaricales; Clavariaceae.
UAAUCUCUCAACACAAGAAAACUUUUUGUUCCUUGUGCUUGGAUGGUGAAAGUUGCUGGCGCAAACAACUGUCAGCUCUUUUUAAAUGCAUUAGCAGAGCAGUGUAGGACUGGCCUCAGUUUGAUAAGAGACAUUUAUCUAUGCUGUCGCUGGAUUUCCUCUGUGUUCAGCUUCUAAACGUCUUCCGACUGUCUCUCCAGAGGCAACAUAACUCAUU